GGUUAUUCAUUUUGAAAUUUUAUUUUCCAAAACUUUGGAUGAUUUUAAAGUAAAAAAAUGUUAGCUGCAAAGUUGCAGAUAUCAUUGAGCACUAUGAUGUGUAUGCUUUCCUUGGAAUUUCCCCACGAAUAGUUCAGAAUUGAGUUCAUCUUCUUACAUGUGUUUCUCCUAGAAGUUUGAAGGAGUUCAUUUAAAAAAAAAGACUAGAGCCAAUACAACAGCCGAUUGAUUAUACUAAAAAGAAGAGCUUUAGAGUGGACAGUACAACAACACUAAACAACACUAAAGGGACGAGCAACGACAACAAAACGUCAACUAACCAAACAAAGCUAUCUUUCAACCGUAAGCCCGCAAGCAACUACACAACUAUCGACAACAGCAAGUGGAAUGGGAAUUCCACCAUAUCCCCACCCAACCCUCCCGGUUCCACCAUAUCUGACCACCUUGGUCCUUGGCAUCAACCUAGCAUCCCCAAACCUUGUAGAACCACAAACACCUCCGAUCC
This 505-nucleotide long non-coding RNA is filed under the name Setaria viridis. Its description in RNAcentral is "long non-coding RNA (SVIR_LNC004235)". Lineage: Eukaryota; Viridiplantae; Streptophyta; Magnoliopsida; Poales; Poaceae. The record is from RNAcentral.